AGAGUUUGAUCCUGGCUCAGAUUGAACGCUGGCGGCAUGCCUUACACAUGCAAGUCGAACGGCAGCACGGGAGCAAUCCUGGUGGCGAGUGGCGAACGGGUGAGUAAUGUAUCGGAACGUGCCCAGUCGUGGGGGAUAACGCAGCGAAAGCUGUGCUAAUACCGCAUACGAUCUAUGGAUGAAAGCGGGGGAUCGCAAGACCUCGCGCGAUUGGAGCGGCCGAUAUCAGAUUAGGUAGUUGGUGGGGUAAAGGCCCACCAAGCCGACGAUCUGUAGCUGGUCUGAGAGGACGACCAGCCACACUGGAACUGAGACACGGUCCAGACUCCUACGGGAGGCAGCAGUGGGGAAUUUUGGACAAUGGGCGCAAGCCUGAUCCAGCAAUGCCGCGUGCAGGAUGAAGGCCUUCGGGUUGUAAACUGCUUUUGUACGGAACGAAACGGCGAGCUCUAAUAAAGCUUGCUAAUGACGGUACCGUAAGAAUAAGCACCGGCUAACUACGUGCCAGCAGCCGCGGUAAUACGUAGGGUGCGAGCGUUAAUCGGAAUUACUGGGCGUAAAGCGUGCGCAGGCGGUUUUGUAAGACAGAUGUGAAAUCCCCGGGCUUAACCUGGGAACUGCAUUUGUGACUGCAUAGCUAGAGUACGGUAGAGGGGGAUGGAAUUCCGCGUGUAGCAGUGAAAUGCGUAGAUAUGCGGAGGAACACCGAUGGCGAAGGCAAUCCCCUGGACCUGUACUGACGCUCAUGCACGAAAGCGUGGGGAGCAAACAGGAUUAGAUACCCUGGUAGUC
This 792-nucleotide ribosomal RNA is filed under the name uncultured bacterium. RNAcentral's name for it is "bacterial SSU rRNA". It matches the Rfam family "Bacterial small subunit ribosomal RNA", at positions 8 to 795 of the family's 1533-position model. The record is from RNAcentral.